CCAGGUGUGAUAAAAAUACAGUGAAUGCUUAAAUGUUAAAAUAUUUAUUGCACAAAAGGACACACUGCCGUUAUCCCCCUCAAAAAUACACUGUCCUGCUUCCAACACACUCACCCCGUGGCUCUUGUCACUUUCAGAAGCAGCUCUGGACGCCCCCUUCCAGGAGUGUCUUUAGUUGAGCUGUGGGCCCUCCCUCGUUAUCUCGAACUGAUACAGAAGUUUACUUUUUGUGGGGAUCUUGACUUUAGCAAAGAGCCGGAAGGUCCCUAGCGCCGGACCCGGUCAGGACAGUGGAUGAGGGCACAAUGAUGUUUUAUGAGCUUGCCUCUCCUUUGGGUGGCAUUCGGAUAGUGAGCAGCCCUCGCUGUAACUUCGAUGACACCUGGUACAGACACAAUAGGCGAAGGACGUCCAGAGCUGCUUCGGAAAGUAGCAACAAUGAUGGGACGGAGCCAGCGGAGAGCGGCGACGACGGUGCAGCAGCAGCAGGAAGAGGAGGAGGCGGCGCCCCGCUCCCCGGCAGUGACCACGAGCUCACCCCUCCUCCCGGUGACACACGAUCCCGCGGGCGGGCACAAAAGCCGGGAAAUUUCGGAGCCAGUCUGGGCCGGGGAAGAGCACUGGGCUCCUGAGCCGGGCUUCUGCUGAUUCUCCAAGACUGCCGGGAAGAGGGUGGCCGGCCCAGCGGCAAACAGGAAAUCCAGAAUUUAUAGAUGACCCGGUUACAAGGCAAAUGUUUUGGAACAAAUUGUUCUUCUCUCAAACCCUUGUUUUCCACGAGUUUU
RNAcentral lists this long non-coding RNA (785 nucleotides) under Fukomys damarensis (Damara mole-rat). RNAcentral's name for it is "lncRNA (ENSFDAG00000030206.1)". Lineage: Eukaryota; Metazoa; Chordata; Mammalia; Rodentia; Bathyergidae. The record is from RNAcentral.